This 252-nucleotide ribosomal RNA is filed under the name uncultured Bacteroidales bacterium. RNAcentral's name for it is "partial 16S ribosomal RNA". It matches the Rfam family "Bacterial small subunit ribosomal RNA", at positions 524 to 776 of the family's 1533-position model. The record is from RNAcentral. Lineage: Bacteria; Pseudomonadati; Bacteroidota; Bacteroidia; Bacteroidales.
UACGGAGGAUGCGAGCGUUAUCCGGAUUUAUUGGGUUUAAAGGGUGCGCAGGCGGAAUGUCAAGUCAGCGGUAAAAUUUCGGGGCUCAACCCCGGCGAGCCGUUGAAACUGGCUGUCUUGAGAUGUCGAGAAGUAUGCGGAAUGCGCGGUGUAGCGGUGAAAUGCAUAGAUAUCGCGCAGAACUCCGAUUGCGAAGGCAGCGUACCGGCGCCGGACUGACGCUGAGGCACGAAAGCGUGGGUAUCGAACAGG